This 158-nucleotide unclassified non-coding RNA is filed under the name Cladosporium sphaerospermum. RNAcentral's name for it is "ITS1". Lineage: Eukaryota; Fungi; Ascomycota; Dothideomycetes; Cladosporiales; Cladosporiaceae. The record is from RNAcentral.
CAGUUGACCCCGGCCCUCCGGGCCGGGAUGUUCACAACCCUUUUGUUGUCCGACUCUGUUGCCUCCGGGGCGACCCUCGCCUCCGGGCGGGGGCCCCGGGUGGACAUUUCAAACUCUUGCGUAACUUUGCAGUCUGAGUAAAUUUAAUUAAUAAAUUA